RNAcentral lists this ribosomal RNA (415 nucleotides) under uncultured bacterium. RNAcentral's name for it is "bacterial SSU rRNA". It matches the Rfam family "Bacterial small subunit ribosomal RNA", at positions 358 to 770 of the family's 1533-position model. The record is from RNAcentral.
GGAAUAUUGGUCAAUGGAGGCAACUCUGAACCAGCCAUGCCGCGUGCAGGAUGACGGUCCUAUGGAUUGUAAACUGCUUUUGUACGGGAAGAAAUGUAUCUACGUGUAGAUAUUUGACGGUACCGUAAGAAUAAGGAUCGGCUAACUCCGUGCCAGCAGCCGCGGUAAUACGGAGGAUCCGAGCGUUAUCCGGAAUUAUUGGGUUUAAAGGGUUCGUAGGCGGUUGAGUAAGUCAGUGGUGAAAUCUUAUAGCUUAACUAUAAAAUUGCCGUUGAUACUGCUUGACUUGAAUAGUAUGGAAGUAAUUAGAAUAUGUAGUGUAGCGGUGAAAUGCUUAGAUAUUACAUGGAAUACCAAUUGCGAAGGCAGAUUACUACGUACUUAUUGACGCUGAUGAACGAAAGCGUGGGUAGCG